AACGAACGCUGGCGGCAGGCUUAACACAUGCAAGUCGAGCGAGACCUUCGGGUCUAGCGGCGGACGGUGAGUAACGCGAGGGAACGUGCCCUUCUCUACGGAAUAGCCCCGGGAAACUGGGAGUAAUACCGUAUACGCCCUUUGGGGGAAAGAUUUAUCGGAGAAGGAUCGGCCCGCGUUGGAUUAGGUAGUUGGUGGGGUAAUGGCCCACCAAGCCGACGAUCCAUAGCUGGUUUGAGAGGAUGAUCAGCCACACUGGGACUGAGACACGGCCCAGACUCCUACGGGAGGCAGCAGUGGGGAAUCUUAGACAAUGGGGGCAACCCUGAUCUAGCCAUGCCGCGUGAGUGAUGAAGACCUUAGGGUUGUAAAGCUCUUUCAGCUGGGAAGAUAAUGACGGUACCAGCAGAAGAAGCCCCGGCUAACUCCGUG
RNAcentral lists this ribosomal RNA (432 nucleotides) under uncultured bacterium. RNAcentral's name for it is "partial 16S ribosomal RNA". It matches the Rfam family "Bacterial small subunit ribosomal RNA", at positions 29 to 507 of the family's 1533-position model. The record is from RNAcentral.